UACGGGGGGAGCAAGCGUUGUUCGGAUUUACUGGGCGUAAAGGGCGCGUAGGCGGCGUAACAAGUCACUUGUGAAAUCUCCGGGCUUAACCCGGAGCGGCCAAGUGAUACUGUUGUGCUAGAGUGCGGAAGGGGCUACUGGAAUUCUCGGUGUAGCGGUGAAAUGCGUAGAUAUCGAGAGGAACACCUGCGGCGAAGGCGACUACCUGGCCUGUUCUUGACGCUGAGGCGCGAAAGCUAGGGGAGCAAACGGG
Molecule: ribosomal RNA, 253 nt
Filed under: uncultured bacterium
Lineage: Bacteria
Description: partial 16S ribosomal RNA
Rfam family: Bacterial small subunit ribosomal RNA
Source: RNAcentral